Podarcis lilfordi (Lilford's wall lizard) is the source of this 79-nucleotide non-coding RNA. The record is from the annotation of a GenBank genome assembly. Lineage: Eukaryota; Metazoa; Chordata; Lepidosauria; Squamata; Lacertidae.
GCCUGGAUAGCUCAGCUGGUUAGAGCAUGGUGCUGAUGAUGGUAAGGUUGCAAGUUCAAUUCCCUAUUUCUGCAUUGCA